GCUUCUGGUUUGGCUUGCCCAAUAGGAGGGCUUAGUAGAAAAAGGGGAGGCAGGAGGUUUCUGGAUUUCUUGAAUUCUUCAGUGAACAAACAGAGAGUAAAUCAAAGAAGAACUCCUAUCUUGGAAAUCAUUUCAAUAUAAGAAAAGGACCCCUCUCAAGAUGAGGUUCCUGCUUUUGCAGUGUUGGGUCCUCGACAAUGACAGCAGAGAACGAAUAAUUCCCGGUGCAGUGUCUUACAUCCGUUAAAGGGACUUGAAAAGGAAAACGAGGAACAAGUAUAAAGUGUCCCUGUGUCAUAACCCUGCCCUAUUCUCAGGGAAGUGAACAUACGGAAGACUGUGGGACAUCCUAGCAAAAGAGGUGAAAGGCUCCUGACUUGGAAAGAACGCUGCCUAUCGCUUCCCCCGUAAGAGGGAGCACGCCUCCAGCACCCCGGUGUUGUCUGGACUAUUCGAAGACAGCAGUACAGUUUCCUGGGCUGGAGGAGUCUGACCAGCAGUUUUGUCCAGGCACUGAUUUGGGGAACCCAGACAUUGUGGUUCUUUUUGGAGAACAACUUUGAGUCCCUGCUAUCUUCUUCUUCACCACUGAUUUUUA
Eptesicus fuscus (big brown bat) is the source of this 598-nucleotide long non-coding RNA. RefSeq lists it as uncharacterized. The transcript is spliced from 6 exons. NCBI's taxonomy places the organism in Eukaryota, Metazoa, Chordata, Mammalia, Chiroptera, Vespertilionidae. The record is from RefSeq and is a predicted model, not a curated record.